This is a long non-coding RNA of Herpailurus yagouaroundi (jaguarundi), 1451 nucleotides long. RefSeq lists it as uncharacterized. NCBI's taxonomy places the organism in Eukaryota, Metazoa, Chordata, Mammalia, Carnivora, Felidae. The transcript is spliced from 2 exons. The record is from RefSeq and is a predicted model, not a curated record.
UUUAAGAUGCCAAGGAAUUUAAUGUACUGUUUGGACAAGUGGUUAGAGAAAAGCAUUCUGGGAUAAAGCCACUCUAAUUACACGAACUCUAAAAUUGUUUCCUUUAUUGUGAAUGUAGCUAGCUAUAUUUCACAAACUCAUCUAAAUAAAUAAAUUUGAAAAACUAGACUGAGCCAUCUUAGGUAUGUGGAGUACAUUUUCAUUCAAAAUGUUACAAUAGGUGUCUAUCAUUUACAUAUUAGAGAAAAUAUCCUUACAUAUUUUUUAACCAGAUUUAAUAAGACACUAAAUCUAUUAAAAUACACAUAAAAUAGCUCUAUUAUAGAUCAUCUAUUACUUUUAAAACUCCUAAGAAAUUCUAAAAUUAAGGUAUGCUGGAUCCCUGAAUCAAGUGCUGUUAGUAUAAUUCCUUCUGAUUUUUUAAAACUGAGAACUCAGAUUUGUGAAAGACAAAUGGUUAAAAGGUCAAGAGAAAUCACUUCACCUUUAGAAGACACAGUAUUCUUCUAGGUUAGAGAUCAACUGGCCUAUACCAGCAGAGCAAUAUAAACAGGUUACUAACAAAGACAAUCAUACAGUUCACCAAAUCAAAUAAGACUUUAGCUCUUGUGCUUUUUUAAAUAAAAUUAUGUAAUUAAUCAGAAUCUAAAAGCUUAACAUGUAAAAAACAAAAAGUCACCCCAAAACCCCUAUAAAAUGCUAGCACAUUCUUUCAAUGAUUAUAAUUUUAAUAAACAUGUUGUGGAGUUUUAGGCCACCUGGCAAAAGAGUUUAUUUUUAAAAGUAAUUUCUACAUAAUGAUUUCACUUCUCUAAAUCAAAUCCAAGCUGAAACUUCCAAAGUGCUGCUAAUCAGCAACCACAAAAUUAAAACAUUAAGGGCUGGAAGGUUCCUUUGAUUUUACUAGACUCAUCCAGUCUAAUUCCCACUAAAAGACUGUUAGAAAUGAAAUUAUAAUAAGGCCUAGAGUUAAGCUAAAUGGCAUUCACAAUUAUAAACAAAACAAAAUAAAACCCAAGGGAAAAGCUCAACACCUCCAAUAUUAUACCGGAACUUGCUAUGAAUUUUUAGCUAUAAAUACUGUAAACAAAGAACAAAAAAGCUAACAGUACAAAAACUAGGUCAUUUAAUGAAAUAAGAAAAAUAAUGUGAAAGGACAAAGAAUAUCUUUGUAGACUUCAAAAUAACAUCUAACUCAGGAACUAUCAUCCCAUUCUGGUAGAUCUAACAGAAGAUGCACAUAACUACUCUAAUUCCCUAAGUAUUAUAACUCCACACACAAUAAAUCACUGCUCAUUAACUCAGCUCUUGUUCUUUCCAUGGAAACGAUGCCUCUAUAUUUUAUUUUCGGAAAACAGUAACUAUUCUGAAAUGAAAUAGGAGUACUGACUUUCAGCUCCAUUAAAAAAAAAACAUCAAGCUAGUUCACUCAUCCUUUCUUUCAAUGCAAU